RNAcentral lists this ribosomal RNA (430 nucleotides) under Pratylenchus penetrans. Its description in RNAcentral is "eukaryotic LSU rRNA". It matches the Rfam family "Eukaryotic large subunit ribosomal RNA", at positions 537 to 941 of the family's 3401-position model. The record is from RNAcentral. Lineage: Eukaryota; Metazoa; Nematoda; Chromadorea; Rhabditida; Pratylenchidae.
UGAAAAAUUUNGUUUGGGGUGGCAGUUGCAUGCAACAUGUGCCUUCUGCCAAUUCGGUCCUGUGCGAGCUCACAAUCCCACUCUCGGCGUAAAAGUUGGUCAUCUAUCCGACCCGUCUUGAAACACGGACCAAGGAGUUUAUCGUGUGCGCAAGUCAUUGGGUGUUGAAAACUCAAAGGCGCAAUGAAAGUAAAGAAUCCGCAAGGAUACGACGUGUGAUCUGAGCAAUCACGAUUGCCUGGAGCAACAUGGCCCCAUUCUGGUCGCUUGCGACGGGGUGGAGGAAGAGCGUACGCGGUGAGACCCGAAAGAUGGUGAACUAUUCCUGAGCAGGAUGAAGCCAGAGGAAAGCUCUGGUGGAAGUCCGAAGCGAUUCUGACGUGCAAAUCGAUCGUCUGACCUUGGGAUAGGGCNAAAUAUUCCCCGAAAC